UAGAUGCGAGAGUAGAGCAUAUCAAUAAGCGGAGGAAAAGAAACUAACUAGGAUUCCCUUAGUAACGGCGAGUGAAGCGGGAAGAGCUCAAAUUUGAAAUCUUCUAAGGUUUUACCUUGACGAAUUGUAGUUUAAAGAAGUGUUUUCUGUUGGAGUUUUGGUAAAAGUUCUUUGGAAUAGGACAUCAUAGAGGGUGAGAAUCCCGUAUCUGGUCAUUCCUCCUAGCGUUGUGAUACACUUUCAACGAGUCGGAUUGUUUGGGAAUGCAGUCCAAAAUGGGUGGUAAAUUUCAUCUAAAGCUAAAUAUUGGCGAGAGACCGAUAGCGAACAAGUACCGUGAGGGAAAGAUGAAAAGAACUUUGAAAAGAGAGUUAAACAGUACGUGAAAUUGUCAAAAGGGAAGCGUUUGACACCAGUGUUGUUUUUCCGAAAAUCAAUUACGAAUGUUUUAUUUUUGAGGAGUUAUGACUUCAUCGGCUUGCUCCUUUCUUUAUGAAACUUUCUUAAUGCACUUUUCGGUUAACAAGUCAACAUCAAUUCCUUUUGUUGUAAAAGGGUAUGAGGAAGGUGGCUUUCUUUUCGGAGAAAGUGUUUAUAGCCUUGUAGCCUCUGCAAUCGGAGAGAUUGAGGUCUGCAGCGUAGAUCCUUCGGGGUUAGAUACAUUUGUGCUAAGUUAUAGCUUUUCAUAGACAACUUGUUGACUAUAUUUAGUCUUGUAGCUUACUCGCUUAUGCUAUUUUACCUACGCUUAGGAUGUUGACGAGACUGUCGAUCUC
This 776-nucleotide ribosomal RNA is filed under the name uncultured Neocallimastigales. RNAcentral's name for it is "partial large subunit ribosomal RNA". It matches the Rfam family "Eukaryotic large subunit ribosomal RNA", at positions 22 to 647 of the family's 3401-position model. Lineage: Eukaryota; Fungi; Neocallimastigomycota; Neocallimastigomycetes; Neocallimastigales. The record is from RNAcentral.